RNAcentral lists this ribosomal RNA (484 nucleotides) under uncultured bacterium. RNAcentral describes it as "partial 16S ribosomal RNA". It matches the Rfam family "Bacterial small subunit ribosomal RNA", at positions 30 to 507 of the family's 1533-position model. The record is from RNAcentral.
AUUGAACGCUGGCGGCAGGCCUAACACAUGCAAGUCGAGCGGAUGAAGGGAGCUUGCUCCUGGAUUCAGCGGCGGACGGGUGAGUAAUGCCUAGGAAUCUGCCUGGUAGUGGGGGAUAACAUCCGGAAACGGGCGCUAAUACCGCAUACGUCCUGAGGGAGAAAGUGGGGGAUCUUCGGACCUCACGCUAUCAGAUGAGCCUAGGUCGGAUUAGCUAGUUGGUGGGGUAAAGGCCUACCAAGGCGACGAUCCGUAACUGGUCUGAGAGGAUGAUCAGUCACACUGGAACUGAGACACGGUCCAGACUCCUACGGGAGGCAGCAGUGGGGAAUAUUGGACAAUGGGCGAAAGCCUGAUCCAGCCAUGCCGCAUGUGUGAAGAAGGUCUUCGGAUUGUAAAGCACUUUAAGUUGGGAGGAAGGGCAGUAAGUUAAUACCUUGCUGUUUUGACGUUACCAACAGAAUAAGCACCGGCUAACUUCGUG